Molecule: ribosomal RNA, 404 nt
Filed under: uncultured bacterium
Lineage: Bacteria
Description: bacterial SSU rRNA
Rfam family: Bacterial small subunit ribosomal RNA
Source: RNAcentral
AAUGAACGCUGGCGGCGCGCCUAAUACAUGCAAGUCGAGCGAGAGGACGUAGCAAUACGUUUGUAAAGCGGCGAACGGGUGAGGAAUACAUGGGUAACCUACCCUCGAGUGGGGAAUAACUAGCCGAAAGGUUAGCUAAUACCGCGUACGCUUCCUGGACUUCGGUUCAGGGAGGAAAGCGAUGCCGAGGGUAUCGCGCUCUUGGAUGGGCUCAUGUCCUAUCAGCUUGUUGGGAGGUAACGGCUCACCAAGGCUUCGACGGGUAGCUGGUCUGAGAGGACGAUCAGCCACACUGGCACUGCGACACGGGCCAGACUCCUACGGGAGGCAGCAGUAAGGAAUAUUGCGCAAUGGGCGAAAGCCUGACGCAGCGACGCCGCGUGGGGGAUGAAGGUCUUCGGAUU